This is a long non-coding RNA of Papaver somniferum (opium poppy), 1209 nucleotides long. RefSeq lists it as uncharacterized. The record is from RefSeq and is a predicted model, not a curated record. NCBI's taxonomy places the organism in Eukaryota, Viridiplantae, Streptophyta, Magnoliopsida, Ranunculales, Papaveraceae. The transcript is spliced from 6 exons.
UCAAUUGAGAAGAGGAACCAACUUCCUCUCCUGCGACUGGUUUCUCAUCUCCCUCCAAGUCUGAUUAAUCUCUGUCACUCAUCUCCCUCUAAGUCUGAUCAAUCUCUCCUACUCUAUAUCUAGUCUUGUAUGGAUUAUGUGAAAGGGUCCGUUAAUUAGGUUUUUCCGGAAAAAUUAGAAGAUUUACUUCGGGAUCUAAUAUUUCUAGGGUUUAUGAUGUGCAUAGAAUUAAUUUCGUUUUGGCCCUAAAUUGGUGUCUAAUUUCACUAGGGUUCUUAGCAUCAGCAACAUAUACGACCUCAGAUGCUGCAUUUUAUAUUAAUCAGGACCGAAUGUUUGCUCAUGAAUCCAUUGCGAAAUAGGUUAUUAACUCAAAAUGUUGGUUUCCUUUCUUAUAUCAUUUUGAGCCAACCAGGUCAUAUGACAGAAUCGUAGUUCUUAUGGUGGGAAUUGAAUUCAGCCCAUCCAUUUGCAAAUUUAGAAGAAACAUAUUACAUUCCAUGGAGGGGCACUUUUUCGCAUAAUCUUUCAAUGCUGCUGCAGUGAUUCUCCUUAUAAAAACGAGUUGAUAAAACAAACACGGGACAUGGCUCGGAAGAAAAGAUUCCAAAGUCUAUGCGUUGCCUUUUACUAUGGUGAGGACUAUUAUGUAGGAGAAGGCCUCAGCGUAAAAGAAGCAUUUCAAGUCAUAGCAAAGAAUACCCUGAAGAGUGAGGAAGAUGAAGAGAUGUACUUGCCUCACUAUUGAUGUUUUCCUCGGAAUGCGAGUGUUAAAGAACUUGUUCGCCCUCUGAUUAUUUGUUGAGAAGACCUCCAUUAGCCCUCUGCUGCACCACAUAUAUCCUAAACCAUAUGCGGAGGUAUAAUUGCUCUGCUUUGCUAAGCUGGAAAAGAAAACAAGGUAAGGAUAUAGUCAUGUGUCUAAGUAUACUCACUGAUAGGCCAGUUGAUUAUUAAGUUAUAUUGGUAGUAGACUACUAUAAGCUAUCUUCGUAUGUUGGUGGUGAUUGGGUAGUGUAGCAUAAGAAGCAUUUGCAAUUUACAAAUUAAACUUUGUGUACCUUGUUACAUAUAAGUACUAUUAGGUAGGGUAGAGUUAAUGUUUUAAUUUAUAAUAAUUUUUAGUUUGAUUGUUUAGUGUUUUAAAGUGUAUUGAGAUAUUAGUUGAUGUUGAAAAGGAUUUUUUUUAUUAAUUUAAUUUCUAUGAAA